GGAGGGCUGGCCGAGCCAGGCAAGGCACCGGGUUGCUAACCCGAGGUCCGGGAUCACCCCGGCGCGCGUUCGAAUCGCGCGCCCUCCG
RNAcentral lists this transfer RNA (88 nucleotides) under Actinomycetota bacterium. RNAcentral describes it as "tRNA-Ser". It matches the Rfam family "tRNA". From Rfam's summary of the family: Transfer RNA (tRNA) molecules are approximately 80 nucleotides in length. Their secondary structure includes four short double-helical elements and three loops (D, anti-codon, and T loops). The record is from RNAcentral. Lineage: Bacteria; Bacillati; Actinomycetota.